Molecule: long non-coding RNA, 3586 nt
Filed under: Ovis aries (sheep)
Lineage: Eukaryota; Metazoa; Chordata; Mammalia; Artiodactyla; Bovidae
Description: lncRNA (ENSOARG00000026049.1)
Source: RNAcentral
CUUAUGGCUGAUUUACACUGUUAUAUGGCAGAAAUCAAUGCAACGUUGUGAAGCAAUUAUCCUCCAACUAAAAAAAAAAGUCUUAAGUUCAGUAAACCAUGCCUGUUGUCUUUUUCCAGUGGCUUCCUACCCUGUCUGGUUGCAAAUCUUCAGAAAAAAAGGAAGUUACCCAAGUGACCAUUGGCAUUUCUGUCCUCCUUUUCCUUCUAUUCCUGUUCUGCUCCUAGUUUUGUCUGCUCCUGGUUUCUCUGUUCAUAUUUUCCUGUUAAUACUUAUUUUACUUGUUUUUUACCUUUUUCCUUGUAUCUUAUGUAGCUUUUGCUGCUUCACCACAUUUCCUUUGAGUGUUUUACUCGUCAGUUGGACUAUUCCUUUGAGCUUCUUCUCUUCUAUCUCUCUUCCCCCAAAUAGUAGGGAUAGGGCGGGGGAGACAGGACACUGGGAGCUUCCAGCAGUCUCUUGACUUAGAUCAUGACACCAGGAGGUCUGAGUUCACACUAGUAUAAUCUGCUAAAAACAUAACUAGGUCUAUUGAACAUGACAAGAAUACCCCAGUUCAGAUAACCGUCCCAUUCUGGGGCACACUCACUUUCAUUUCUGGGUAGUCGUGCACAAAGCUUUCUUUUUCAUUUCUUCCCAACAAAUAUCCACCAAGUGUGUAAAUGUGUGUUUAAGAUUAGCUUGUUGUUGUUCAGUCAUUCAGUCAUGUCUGACUCUGCAACCCCAUGAACUGUAACAUGCCAGGCUUCCCUGUCCUUCACUAUCUCCCAGAGUGUGCUCAAACUCUAUUAAGUCUGUGAUGCCAUCCAACCAUCUCAUCCUCUGUUGCCCCCUUCUCCUCCUGCCCUCAAUCUUUCCCAGCAUCAGGGUCUUUUCCAAUGAGUCACCUCUUUGCAUCAGGUGGCCAAAGUAUUGGAGUUUCAGCUUCAGCAUUAGUUCUUCCAGUGAAUAUUCAGGGUUAUUUCCUCUAGGAUUGACUUAUUUGAUAUCCUUAAGGCCAGCUGCCCAGGCUCUAUUCCAGCUGUGGGUCUUCCUUGUGGAACUGGGACCUGGUUGAUGAUUCAGUCGGAGGUAGAGGCUCCUCAUGUUACCAAAAACUAUAUAUGCCUUUCAAUGGGUUUUGAACCAAGAGAUACCAACUAAGCCAAAGAUAAGAGAGAAGGGAGGAUGUAUUACCUGAAGCAAACGAGAACAUUAACUACCUUUCCCAAUGCAAUGUCUCCCCAGACAGCAAAACUGGGGAAGAUUUAAGCUGAGGGUAUAUGCAUAUUCAUGAGGAGGCUUGAGCAGAGGAGAAUUCAGCAUAGAAUUGGGGCAAAGGUCAAUAUAGUCCAAGCUUUAAUUGAUUGAAGUCAGAAUGGUCAACAUCAUCAUUCUACCCUCUACAUGGGUGAGGGCCUUAGCUGCUGCAGAACUCAAAGACUGUAUCAAAUGGUUGCUGUUUUUGUUCAGUCGCUGUCAUGUCUGACUCUGUGACCCCAUGGACUGCAGCACAACAGGCUUCCCUGUCCUUCACUCUCUCCCAGUUUGCUCAAACUCAAGUCCACUGAGUCUGUGAUGUCAUCCAACCAUCUCAUCCUCUGUCGCCUUCUUCUCCUCAUGCCAUUAAUCUUUCCCAGCAUCAUGGUCUUGUUGUGUAUAUAUUCUUGAGGAAGAACUAGGACUCUGUUUUACUGCUGAAGUACUGUUUUAUUUAUUUUUAAAUAUUUAUUUAUUUGGCUGCACAGGGUCUUAGUUGUGCAACGGGGGAUCUUUAGUUGCGUUAUGUGUGAUCUAUUUCUCUGACCAAAGAUCAAACUCUGGCUCCUGGCAUUGGGAGCAAGGAGUCUUAGAUGCUAGACCAAAAGGGAAGUCCUGAAUUAUUGUUUCUUGACUGUUUUUCCUUUGAUCCUGAAUUCCCUUGCUCCCCAGAAAAUCACUGAUUACGAAGACCUGGUCAAGCACAAGCACUGUGAUCUGCCUUGGGUCAAAAAAUGGCUUCUAUUAUGUUAAGAAAGCUAUGCCUAGUUCACUUACCCCAGGGACCCCAUAUAUGCUUACAAUGACCCUUUCUGAUAUUAGUCUCUCCUAACUAAAUCAGGAUUUGUUUUUUGUUUUACAACAUAAACCCUGACAUAGAAUGUAAUUCCUUUUCCUUCAUUUUGCACUACAAAGUGUUGAUGCCUUCAGUAGGUUUUCCUGAAAAUUGAAGAAGACUAAGAGGAUUCAUCUUGCAGCCAGACAACUGAAUUAAAAUGCCAGUGAUGCUCUUCAGUUCAGUUCAAUUCAGUCGCUCAGUCGUGUCCAACUCUUUUCGACCCCAUGAAUCGCAGCACACCUGGCCUCCCUGUCCAUCACCAAAUCCCAGAGUUUGCUCAGACUUAUAUCCAUCGAGUCAGUGAUGCCAUCCAGCCAUCUCAUCCUCUGUCGUCCCCUUCUCCUCCUGCCCCCAAUCCCUCCCAGCAUCAGAGUCUUUUCCAAUGAGUCAACUCUUCCCUUGCAGUCCAAGGGACUCUCAAGAGUCUUUUCCAACACCACAGUUCAAAAGCAUAAAUUCUUCGGUGCUCAGCCUUCUUCACAGUCACAUCCAUACAUAACUAUUGGAAAAACCAUAGCCUUGACUAGACGGACCUUAGUCGGCAAAAGUAAUGUCUCUGCUUUUAAAUAUGCUAUCUAGGUUGGUCAUAAUUUUUCUUCCAUGGAGUAAGUGUCUUUUAAUUUCAUGGCUGCAGUCACCAUCUGCGGUGAUUUUGGAGCCCCCCCAAACAAAGUCUGACACUGUUUCCACUGCUCUUGGAUCCUGACAAUUUGGAGCUCCAGCUUGAAUGCUUUGUUUUCUUGAUUCUCCUCUCAUUCUCCCACACCCUAAUCCCUUUGCAUUUCUUAUUCUGAACCAAGUUAUUUAUUUUGCUUUUACGUUUCAUUCAUACCCUCUAGGAUUCCCACACCCAUGUGCUUGCAAAUUUUUUGAGGACAGAAGAAGAAAACCAGAUCUUUCCUAAAACAAAUGUUUAACUGGAGAUGGACACCACUAUGACUACAUAGUAGAACAGUUUAUGCGCAAGGGACAAUCUAUGCACAAGGGGAGAUGCCCACCCCACGUGCUUCUGGGCCUGCUCUACAACUAAGCAGCUUAAUGAUCUUACUCAAGUCACUUAUUUUUUCCAUGGUGUGAAAGAAUAAGGAACUAAUGGCUUCAAAUAUUCCUUUCAAUUCCAAGAUUCCAUUAAUCAUUUAAUCUAAACAAAAUGAAGGUUCAAAAAAGAAAGAAAUGUCUUGAAUAAAAAUGGUCUUGAAAAGAAGUAGGCACAGGAAUGAGAGAAAUGUUUACAGAGGGCUCACAGACAAGGAGGUGUGGGUAUGAGCAGAGUUUGUAGUGGAAAGAGCAUGAGUUUGGAGGAGAUAAUGGUUUGGAUUUUAAUUGAUCUCCUUAAGCUUCAAUUCUAAUAGAAAAUGGUAAAUCAAUUUUGUUUUGUUUCUUUUUUUGGUAAGAAUUCCAAAGAAUUGGUAAGGUGAGAGUAUUUUAUAUCAUUUUAGUGAGGUUUUGCCAUGGUUCUCUGCUUAAAUGUCUUCUGUGAAUGUCUUCUUUUCUAACAUUCCUUAUUUA